GACGAACGCUGGCGGCGUGCUUAACACAUGCAAGUCGAACGGUGAAGGUGGAGCUUGCUCCGCCGGAUCAGUGGCGAACGGGUGAGUAACACGUGGGCAACCUGCCCCUCACUUCGGGAUAACUCCGGGAAACCGGGGCUAAUACCGGAUACGACCUCCUUGGGCAUCCUUGGAGGUGGAAAGUUUUUCGGUGAGGGAUGGGCCCGCGGCCUAUCAGCUUGUUGGUGGGGUGAUGGCCUACCAAGGCGACGACGGGUAGCCGGCCUGAGAGGGUGACCGGCCACACUGGGACUGAGAUACGGCCCAGACUCCUACGGGAGGCAGCAGUGGGGAAUAUUGCACAAUGGGCGCAAGCCUGAUGCAGCGACGCCGCGUGAGGGAUGACGGCCUUCGGGUUGUAAACCUCUUUCAGCACCGACGAAGCGCAAGUGACGGUAGGUGCAGAAGAAGGACCGGCCAACUACGUGCCAGCAGCCGCGGUAA
RNAcentral lists this ribosomal RNA (483 nucleotides) under uncultured bacterium. Its description in RNAcentral is "partial 16S ribosomal RNA". It matches the Rfam family "Bacterial small subunit ribosomal RNA", at positions 28 to 523 of the family's 1533-position model. The record is from RNAcentral.